AAAAGUCGUAACAAGGUUUCCGUAGGUGAACCUGCGGAAGGAUCAUUAUCGUACAACGGAGGUGCCCAAGGCUGUCGCUGACCUUCACGGGUCGUGCACGCCCAAAGUGCUCUCUCUCACGUCCAUCUCACCCCUUUGUGCAUCACCACGUGGGCCUCCCCCCAUAUUGGGAGGGGUUCACGUUUUUACACAGACACCUUUUUUAAUGCAUGUGUAGAAUGUCUUACUUUUUGCGAUCACACGCAAUCAAUACAACUUUCAACAACGGAUCUCUUGGCUCUCGCAUCGAUGAAGAACGCAGCGAAAUGCGAUACGUAAUGUGAAUUGCAGAAUUCAGUGAAUCAUCGAAUCUUUGAACGCACCUUGCGCCCCUUGGUAUUCCGAGGGGCACACCCGUUUGAGUGUCGUGAACACCCUCAACCUUCUUGGUUUCUUGACCGGGAAGGCUUGGACUUUGGAGGUUUUCCUUUGCUGGCUUCCCUUUGAAGCCAGCUCCUCCUAAACGAAUUAGUGGGGUCCGCUUUGCUGAUCCUUGACGUGAUUAAGUACGCUUCUACGUCUUGGGUUUCGCACCGUUGGCCUGGAACCCGCUUCCAACAGUCUUCGAAAUGAAGACGAUGUUCGAGUCGCGUCGCGACUCGACCUCACCGACCUUGACCUCAAAUCGGGUGAGACUACCCGCUGAACUUAAGCAUAUCAAUAAGCGGAGGA
This 711-nucleotide ribosomal RNA is filed under the name Russula mustelina. Its description in RNAcentral is "eukaryotic LSU rRNA". The stretch from base 254 to 407 matches the Rfam family "5.8S ribosomal RNA". The record is from RNAcentral. Lineage: Eukaryota; Fungi; Basidiomycota; Agaricomycetes; Russulales; Russulaceae.